This 118-nucleotide small nuclear RNA is filed under the name Labrus bergylta (ballan wrasse). RNAcentral describes it as "U1 spliceosomal RNA (ENSLBEG00000028624.1)". It matches the Rfam family "U1 spliceosomal RNA", at positions 32 to 166 of the family's 166-position model. From Rfam's summary of the family: U1 is a small nuclear RNA (snRNA) component of the spliceosome (involved in pre-mRNA splicing). Its 5' end forms complementary base pairs with the 5' splice junction, thus defining the 5' donor site of an intron. Lineage: Eukaryota; Metazoa; Chordata; Actinopteri; Labriformes; Labridae. The record is from RNAcentral.
UUAACUACCCGUCACCCAUGGCGAGGACCGGCCAUUGCACUCCGGCAGGGCUGACCUGUGUGGGAAUCUGGACUGCAAAGUCUGUGGUAGUGGGAGACUGUGUUUGCACUCUCCCCUG